Molecule: long non-coding RNA, 429 nt
Organism: Biomphalaria glabrata
Lineage: Eukaryota; Metazoa; Mollusca; Gastropoda; Planorbidae
Exons: 3
Source: RefSeq, a predicted model, not a curated record
GGUCGACCUUGCAGAUGAGUUGUCUUCAUACAAAUCUGCUUUUGUUUAUAAUAUGUAUAGGUCUUUUGAUUCAAACUUUGCUCUUAGCUUAUUCAUACACACAUCGGCCCAAUGGAAGGAUUAAAAAUAUACAAAUAUUAGUUAAAAGUGGAAGUGGGAGAAAUGACGUGGGAGAAAUGACGUGUACAAGAUUUGCACUAGAGAGACAGACAUACACAAUCCCCUCCCCCCCCCAGGAGCCAUACAGUAUGCACUGUGGAAGCAGACCCUGUGGUAUUCGAAAUGGCAUACUUUGCUAUACUUUCUCCCUUGUGGAUACUAGAAGAAUAACACCAGAACUAUGGUUACCAAGAAGACAUCUAGAUGGUGACCAGGCAGUGAGACUGGUGCUACAAACAAACGUCUUGAAAUAUCUAUUUCUUUAAAUUA